Teleopsis dalmanni is the source of this 312-nucleotide long non-coding RNA. RefSeq lists it as uncharacterized. NCBI's taxonomy places the organism in Eukaryota, Metazoa, Arthropoda, Insecta, Diptera, Diopsidae. The record is from RefSeq and is a predicted model, not a curated record. The transcript is spliced from 2 exons.
ACAAGGUGAAAAAUAAGAUAAAAGACAAAGUGGCUAACUUAUUUACUUACUUACUAAACGACAAGGUGAACGAUAAGAUGAAGAAUGAAGUGAAUGACAAUGUUAAUGACUAGAGAACGAGCAUAUGAGCGACACGGGUAACGACAAGGUACACUACAAAGUGAACGAGAAUAUGAAAGAGAAUAUUGUCAAGAGACUGAGCAGAUGAACGACAGGGAAGUAUCGGCUGAAUAACAUCCCAUGCAGUAAUGAGUUCAUCUAAGCGAUUUCUGAAACGAUUACAUGUAACAUAAAAGAUGAAUAAAAAAGGUU